RNAcentral lists this transfer RNA (77 nucleotides) under Clostridiales bacterium. Its description in RNAcentral is "tRNA-Asp". It matches the Rfam family "tRNA". Rfam says of the family: Transfer RNA (tRNA) molecules are approximately 80 nucleotides in length. Their secondary structure includes four short double-helical elements and three loops (D, anti-codon, and T loops). Lineage: Bacteria; Bacillati; Bacillota; Clostridia; Eubacteriales. The record is from RNAcentral.
GGCCUGGUAGUUCAGUUGGUUAGAACGCUAGCCUGUCACGCUAGAGGUCGCGGGUUCGAGCCCCGCUCAGGUCGCCA